RNAcentral lists this ribosomal RNA (397 nucleotides) under uncultured bacterium. Its description in RNAcentral is "partial 16S ribosomal RNA". It matches the Rfam family "Bacterial small subunit ribosomal RNA", at positions 523 to 918 of the family's 1533-position model. The record is from RNAcentral.
AUACGUAGGGGGCGAGCGUUGUCCGGAAUGAUUGGGCGUAAAGGGCGCGUAGGCGGCCUGUUAAGUCUGGAGUGAAAGUCCUGUUUUCAAGAUGGGAAUUGCUUUGGAUACUGAUGGGCUUGAGUGCAGGAGAGGUUAUCGGAAUUCCCGGUGUAGCGGUGAAAUGCGUAGAGAUCGGGAGGAACACCAGUGGCGAAGGCGGGUAACUGGACUGCAACUGACGCUGAGGCGCGAAAGUGUGGGGAGCAAACAGGAUUAGAUACCCUGGUAGUCCACACUGUAAACGAUGAAUACUAGGUGUAGGGGGUAUCGACUCCCUCUGUGCCGCAGUUAACACAAUAAGUAUUCCGCCUGGGGAGUACGGCCGCAAGGUUGAAACUCAAAUGAAUUGGCGGGG